GGGGGGGGCCGCCCGCAGGGGCCGCUCGCAGCACCCUCGGGGGGCGCCGAGGACGCCGCCCUGCUGGCGCCCGAGCCGGGCGAGAGGGCGGCAGGCGGCGCUGGGGGUGGGCGCUGCCGCCGGCAGAGGACUUGGUGCUGGGUCGUGCUGGGAAAGCGGCUUUUUCUUCUCGCUGCCGCCCUGUGUGGGCAGCCUAAAAGGCUUGUGGAUGGAAAUCUCUUCUUUCACAUCUUCUGCACUGAUGUCAGAGCAGCCUAGUCCAGUCUGCCAUUUUAUGGUUCCUGCCACCAGCUCUCUACAACAGUGCAACAUUCCAGUUUUUAAUACCUACCACUGCCUGUGUUAGUGGACCAUCCAAAUGGCUGUAAACCUGCAGAAAAGAUACAGAACGUGGUCUCAAACUGGAUUGGAGCAGUCUUGUUGACUUUUUUCUAUUUAUGUUUUUUUAUUCUUGUAUUUGACUUAAAGUGCCAUGAGAAAAUUUGCAUAUUGCAAGGUGGUCCUUGCCACCUCAUUGGUUUGGGUCCUUCUGGAUAUGUUUCUACUGCUUUACUUCAGUGAAUGCAACAAAUGUGAUGAGAAAAAAGAGCGAGGACUACCUGCUGGAGAUGGUGAGUGAAUAAUAUCUGUAAAUCAUAAUUUGGUUUAAAUAAUCAUAAUGGAAAAGUUUCCUAUUUAAUGAUUUUAUGGUAGCACAAGAUAUGACUUAUGAAGGUUUUUGUUUAAGACUUGUGGUAUUCUGAAGACAAAUAUAAAACUUUUUAAGAUGUGGGUUUGGGGAAAAAAUGCUAUGCUGUGGGCUGUUUAGAAAGGUAAAAUAGUUAAGAAAGUAGCUUAUCCUGAGAUACAAGAAUAUAUCUGUAAUAUUUCUGAUUUUGGUAGAGAGACUACUUUUUCAUUACACUGCUGUAUUUGGCCAAUGAAUAUGGAAGUUCUGAAGGUCAAUAAUUUCAUUACCAAAUGUCAGAGCAAAAAAGUUAUUUUGAUAAAUGCAAUAGAACUUCAGACCAAGAGGUGAAGACUGCUUUUUUUUUAUUCCAAGCAAAGUUCUUCAGUUAAGCUUUGCAAUUUCUCUGCUAGUUUUCUUAGUAUCCGUGUAUCUGUCAGUGAAGCUUAGUGUAGGAUUUUGUUUUGUUUUUAUGAAAGGUUACACACCAUAAAACUUACUACUUUGGUAUAUAACAUGGAUCUUCCUGGGUUUUAUAUACAUAUGCCCGUUUUGGAGUUAUAUAAAACAAAUUAAGUAAAGAUUGAAGAUGUCUAGGUGGAACUGCGUGGCUUGUUAAAGUUGGCCAAAGCUUCCUUUUAUAGAAUCUUCCUUUAUUUGUAACUAAACCAAGCAUCCACUGUUUAGGUUCAACUUCCCCAUGUUAUAUGUCACCGUUGUAUUGAAAUUUUUGCAAAGCUGCAGCAGAAGUGGUUCAGCCAUUACAGGGAAUUGGGGAAAAACAGAAACAUUGGCUUCUCACACUUAUUUCAUAAAGAAGGUUCAGGGACUUGAUGGCUUGGAGAAAAGGGAUUUGAAAUAUUGUGGGGGUAUUUCUCUAAAUGUAGAAGUGUUUUUAAAUAGAUACAAAGAUAAAUAGAUGUAGGGUCGGAAGGGACCUUGUAGAUCUUCUAGUCCGACCCCCUGCCCUGGGCAGGAGAGAAAACAGGGCUCAAAUGACCUCAGCCAGGUAAAUGUCGAGCCUCCUAUUAAAACCCCCCAAAGUAGGAGCCAUCACCACUUCCCCUGGAAGUUGGUUCCAUAUCCUGUAAAGCAGGUGUAGGCCAAGUCCGGCACACCAAACCAUUCUAUCUGGGCUGCAGGGCACCUAAGAAGUUUCAAAAAUUAAUAUUAAUCUGGUUCUGGCUGCCUACCAAAGAUGACAGGAGUCAGGGGCAGUAGGACCCCAGGGGAGCCAGCAGGAGUCAGGAGAGAGGCCAGCUGGAUGGGACCCCUGACUACCUACCACAUCUCUUUGCAGCUGGUUUCCCUGCAGGCUGCUGCCUCCAGUACCAUGUGGCCUCCGGCUGCAUUGCUGGACUGUAGGAGCACAGGGCCAUGCCGGCACACAGAGCAUGUGUGGGGGGGGGCAAAACACACGCUCUGUGUGUGCGCAUGAGCGCACGCAUGCAGAGUGAGCAAAGCACAUAGUGAGUGUGAGUGUGUGUGUGUGUGUGUGUGUGUGUGUGUGCGCGCGUGCGCGCGCGCACCCGAGGUGAGAAAAGCACACUCUGUGCGUGCGUGCGGGGGUGG
This is a long non-coding RNA of Alligator sinensis (Chinese alligator), 2239 nucleotides long. RefSeq lists it as uncharacterized. The transcript is spliced from 3 exons. Lineage: Eukaryota; Metazoa; Chordata; Crocodylia; Alligatoridae. The record is from RefSeq and is a predicted model, not a curated record.